AGAGUAUUUACAGAAGGCCUGUGUGUCAGAAGUCAGCCCUGUGGCAGGAGGCAGAAGCUGGGAUGGGUGCCCACAAAGGAAGCCUUAUUUUCCAAGGCAGCCAGAGAAUCAUGGGUCUGAACUUAUCCCGUCUUCUCAGAUGGAGGACUAAGACCCAGAAAGAGGGAGGAAUUUGUCCAAGCUCUCCCAGUGAGCUGAUGCCAGAGCCAGGACUAGAACUCAGGUCUCCCAAUUCUCAGCACAGUGUGAUUUUCCUUGCAGAAUGUUGAUGCUCAAAGAACAGGAACCCCAGAACCCCAGGGAGGUAAGGAAGAAGAGCACAGCCAGGAUCAGAAGAGUGAAGAAACAAUGAUGUCCCACAGGUCACAGGGAGUAAGUAGCUGCUCUAGGGGUGAACCCAAGAGUGGUGAUUCACUGUCCAAACUACUGGCUGGAGGAGAGCUCGUGGUGGUCAUGUGUUUGUCAACCUGUUCCAGCUCUUCCCAACUAUGGCAGUGGCUAUGGCCUAACAGCUGGAGGCAGGAACAGGGCAGUGACAAGAAUCAGCAACUGCAUAGGGGCCUCAUCAAUUUCCAGUCCUCCAUCCAGAAGAGGACAGGACAUGCUCAAGCUGCCCCAAAGAGAAAGGACAAAGGAGAGGAAUUCUGAGAUGCAAGUCCCUAUGGAAGAGGGGACAGAGUUAAAUUCCAGCAGUCCAACAGACUAUGGCUAGAGCCAUAGUCUUCUCUUACCUGUAUCUUUAACGUUCAGCUUACUAUUGGUUCCUUAUUAUCUCCUGUUAGUGAGGUUCCUUUCAAAAACAAUAAAACAAAACAAUAUUUUCCCGCUCAA
Molecule: long non-coding RNA, 831 nt
Filed under: Homo sapiens (human)
Lineage: Eukaryota; Metazoa; Chordata; Mammalia; Primates; Hominidae
Description: PCBP1 antisense RNA 1
Source: RNAcentral